AAAAUUAUCAAUGUCUGUCAUUUUAUGAGUAGUUUUCAGCUUUCGCCUUAAAUAUCGGAGUCGAACAGUUAUUCGUCAGUGUAGUCUCGUCGGUGUGAUCCAGAUAGGAGUGCUUCCAAAGCCAACCAGGCUCAGCUACUCAGGAGAAACGCUAACUCAAAAGACAGCUCAACACAACUUUAACUUGGAAUAUUUCGAACAUUUUGGACUU
This 211-nucleotide long non-coding RNA is filed under the name Mytilus galloprovincialis (Mediterranean mussel). The record is from RNAcentral. Lineage: Eukaryota; Metazoa; Mollusca; Bivalvia; Mytilida; Mytilidae.